RNAcentral lists this ribosomal RNA (439 nucleotides) under uncultured bacterium. Its description in RNAcentral is "partial 16S ribosomal RNA". It matches the Rfam family "Bacterial small subunit ribosomal RNA", at positions 339 to 795 of the family's 1533-position model. The record is from RNAcentral.
CUACGGGCGGCUCCAGUGAGGAAUAUUGCACAAUGGGGGGAACCCUGAUGCAGCAACGCCGCGUGGAGGAUGACGCAUUUCGGUGUGUAAACUCCUUUUAUAUGUCAAGAAAAUGACGGUAGCAUAUGAAUAAGCUCCGGCUAACUCCGUGCCAGCAGCCGCGGUAAUACGGAGGGAGCAAGCGUUACUCGGAAUCACUGGGCGUAAAGGACGCGUAGGCGGGAUAGAAAGUCAGGUGUGAAAUCCUAUGGCUCAACCAUAGAACUGCACUUGAAACUUCUAACCUAGAGUAUGGGAGGGGAAGAUGGAAUUAGUGGUGUAGGGGUAAAAUCCGUAGAUAUCACUAGGAAUACCAAAAGCGAAGGCGAUCUUCUGGAACAAUACUGACGCUAAGGCGUGAAAGCGUGGGGAGCAAACAGGAUUAGAUACCCGAGUAGUC